Molecule: ribosomal RNA, 279 nt
Filed under: uncultured bacterium
Lineage: Bacteria
Description: partial 16S ribosomal RNA
Rfam family: Bacterial small subunit ribosomal RNA
Source: RNAcentral
UGCCAGCCGCCGCGGUAACACGGAGGGGGUUAGCGUUGUUCGGAAUUACUGGGCGUAAAGCGCACGUAGGCGGAUCAGAAAGUUAGGGGUGAAAUCCCAGGGCUCAACCCUGGAACUGCCUCUAAAACUCCUGGUCUAGAGUUCGAGAGAGGUGAGUGGAAUUCCGAGUGUAGAGGUGAAAUUCGUAGAUAUUCGGAGGAACACCAGUGGCGAAGGCGGCUCACUGGCUCGAUACUGACGCUGAGGUACGAAAGCGUGGGGAGCGAACAGGAUUAGAUA